CCACCGCCGGGGAGGGGCCCUAGGCCCCGCCCCUCGUCCCUCCCCCGCGCGCGGAUUGGCGGCCGGCGGCGCCGACCCGCACAUGGGCGCUGGACGGCGAGGGGCGCGGCGCUGUCGGGGCCGCGGGUUCGGGGCCGCCGCUCGCCGCUCGCCAUGGCCCGGCGCAGCUCGCUCUCCAUCCGCGUCGUGGAGGGCAGGAACCUGCCCGCCAAAGACAUGUGAGUCCCCCGCGGGAGGGGCUGGGGCUUGGGGGCUGCCCCCGGGAGGGCUCCGGGAUGCCUCCGGCAGUGCCCGCUGCUUCGGGGCACCUCCGGCGUUGUCUGUGCGUUAGGGCUUCCCCCCCCGGGCUGCUUCGGGGUGCCCCCCUUGCAGUGCCAGGUGCUUUGGGGCCCCCCCCCCAGGGCUGCUUCGGGGUGCCCCCCUUGCAGUGCCAGGUGCUUUGGGGCUCCCCCGGUGCUGCUUUGGGGUGCCCCCUCUGCAGUGCUAGGUGCCUUGGGUGCCCUCUUGCAACGCCUUGGGGUGCCCCCCUGCAGUGCCGGGUGCUUUGGGGUGCCCCCCAGGCAUGCUUUGGGGUGCCCCCCUGCAGUGUCUGUGCUUUAGGGCUUCCCCCCAGGAGUGCUAUGGGGUGCCCCCAGCAGUGCCCAGUGCUUUGGGUGCCCCUGCUCCGGGGCUCCCCCCGGCACCCCAAUGCUGCUGUGCGCAGGGCUUGCCCCCCCCCCCCCCCCCCCCCCCCAUCUGCAGCCGCCCCAGAGCUGUGUCCUUGGUGGGGCCUGGAGCCCCCGGGUGCCUGGGCACGGACGCGCAGCUGGACCCCACACGGACGCGCAGCCGGACCCCACGUGCACCCUCGGCGCAGCCGUCCUGAAAGCAGCUGCGGCAGCCCCCGUGCUUCCCGUCCCUCCGUCACUUCUCCUUUCCGAGUCCCGGCUCGAACCCAGCGGGGCAGCCGCCCCCAGGCACGCUUCCCUGCUCGCUCCGGCUUCCAGCCGCCAUUCCCGCGGGGCCGGCAGCAGCUGCCCACUGUGCCGUUGGCCUUGCUGCUCUUCUUGCCCGCUGCUAUUCCCAUGGGAUGGAGGCGCGGGGGCCCGGCUGCGGAGCCGCUUGCCGCCGGCAGGACGCUCUUGCGGGCACGUUGAGGAGCUGCUCCGCAGCCCGGCUGGGAAAUCACUGGAAAACUUUGCUGGAAAAUCAGCAAAAAGCCCCACAGCUGUCAUGGAGGGGAAAAAAAGAGGAUAGACAUGGAAAGAAAUAUGCCUUCCCCCUCCCUGCGCUGUGUGUCAGGCCUGAUUUAAAUCCUUUGGAGCAACUCCCUGCCGGGAACUUGAGCUGGCGACAGGAGGUGGGAUUUCGGGAGGGCUGCAGAAGACUGGAUGCGAGAUUGCACUUUACCCGGGGGUUUCCAAAUCCGUGGGAAAACGCAGCCGGGGAAGGGGCAGGGAGCCUGGCUGGGGCUGGGAAAAGGGAAACCGGAGACCUGGCUCCUUCCUUCACCUGCCGCUGCCUGACCUUGGCCGCGGCUCCCCCCGGCUCGCUGGCCGCCUCCUGCCCACGGAUGGGGUUCACGACAGCCGUUCGCUCCGCCCUGCCCCGCGCGAAGCGGCAGGGCUUGUCGCGGCCGCAGCGUUGAGCGGGGUUUUGCCCCCGUGCACGGCGCCGCCCGCGGAGGCGAUGCUGGAGGGGGGCUCGCGCGCCCCCGCCGGGGCCGUCGUCACCCGCCUCCGGGGGGUUUGGUCCCUGGCUGCCUCCGAUUUUCCCAUCCCCGGGCUCGUUUGCAGGUCUGUCCCCGCUUGUCAAACCCGCGGGGGCCGUGACCGUGAGACCUGCGCCUUCGUGAGCGAUCCCCGGCCUCGGGAGCGGGCAAGCAACCCGAGAGACUCGCCGGAUGAAUUUAGGAUGCGGGAAGCCGCCGGGUGCACGUGCGUGGGGCGGCCGCGGGGCUCCGGCCGGGGCUGCGGGAGCCCCGACGGUUUAGGCAGCGUUUUCUUUAGCCCGUGACGGCGUUUGCUUUCUCAGCCGCCUGGGACGAAAUCCCUCCUUGGCAGCCGGGAGGGAGCCUGGCCUCGGCUGGUCUCCAGCACCACGGCUCGCUGGCCCCUCCUGCCUCGGGCUCUUAGUUAUGCUGUCAAACGCCCGGCC
Apteryx haastii (Great spotted kiwi) is the source of this 2136-nucleotide long non-coding RNA. The record is from Ensembl. NCBI's taxonomy places the organism in Eukaryota, Metazoa, Chordata, Aves, Apterygiformes, Apterygidae.